Non-coding RNA from Ovis aries (sheep), 73 nucleotides. Lineage: Eukaryota; Metazoa; Chordata; Mammalia; Artiodactyla; Bovidae. The record is from Rfam.
UCCCUGAUAGCUCAGUUAGUAAAGCAUUUGCCUACAGUGCAGGAGACCCUGGUUCGAUUCCUGGGUCUGGAAA